RNAcentral lists this ribosomal RNA (463 nucleotides) under uncultured bacterium. RNAcentral's name for it is "partial 16S ribosomal RNA". It matches the Rfam family "Bacterial small subunit ribosomal RNA", at positions 27 to 506 of the family's 1533-position model. The record is from RNAcentral.
GGAUGAACGCUGACAGAAUGCUUAACACAUGCAAGUCUUUGGCGAAGCUGUGCUUGCACAGCCUAGCCAAGGCGGACGGGUGAGUAACGCGUAAGGAACUUGCCCUGCAGUCAGGGAUAACAGACGGAAACGACUGAUAAGACCUGGUAAAGUCAGGCGGACUCAUGUCCAGCCUGAUGAAAAGAGAUGCUGCAGGAGAGCCUUGCGUCCUAUUAGCUUGUUGGUGGGGUAACGGCCCACCAAGGCGAUGAUAGGUAGCCGGCCUGAGAGGGUGGACGGCCACAAGGGGACUGAGAUACGGCCCUUACUCCUACGGGAGGCAGCAGUGGGGAAUAUUGGACAAUGGGGGCAACCCUGAUCCAGCAAUUCUGUGUGCACGAUGAAGGUUUUCGGAUUGUAAAGUGCUUUCAGCAGGGAAGAAAAAAAUGACGGUACCUGCAGAAGAAGCGACGGCUAAAUACGU